GAUGAACGCUGGCGGCGUGCCUAAUACAUGCAAGUCGAGCGAACAGAUAAGGAGCUUGCUCCUUUGACGUUAGCGGCGGACGGGUGAGUUACACGUGGAUAACCUACCUAUAAGACUGGGAUAACUUCGGGAAACCGGAGCUAAUACCGGAUAACAUAUUGAACCGCAUGGUUCAAUAGUGAAAGGCGGCUUUGCUGUCACUUAUAGAUGGAUCCGCGCCGUAUUAGCUAGUUGGUAAGGUAACGGCUUACCAAGGCAACGAUACGUAGCCGACCUGAGAGGGUGAUCGGCCACACUGGAACUGAGACACGGUCCAGACUCCUACGGGAGGCAGCAGUAGGGAAUCUGCCGCAAUGGGCGAAAGCCUGACGGAGCAACGCCGCGUGAGUGAUGAAGGUCUUCGGAUCGUAAAACUCUGUUAUCAGGGAAGAACAAAUGUGUAAGUAACUGUGCACAUCUUGACGGUACCUGAUCAGAAAGCCACGGCUAACUACGUG
This 497-nucleotide ribosomal RNA is filed under the name uncultured bacterium. Its description in RNAcentral is "partial 16S ribosomal RNA". It matches the Rfam family "Bacterial small subunit ribosomal RNA", at positions 28 to 507 of the family's 1533-position model. The record is from RNAcentral.